UGGUCGGGAUAGCUCAGCAAGUAGAGGGA
RNAcentral lists this transfer RNA (29 nucleotides) under Epithema tenue. RNAcentral describes it as "partial transfer RNA-Phe". The record is from RNAcentral. Lineage: Eukaryota; Viridiplantae; Streptophyta; Magnoliopsida; Lamiales; Gesneriaceae.